Molecule: ribosomal RNA, 451 nt
Filed under: uncultured bacterium
Lineage: Bacteria
Description: bacterial SSU rRNA
Rfam family: Bacterial small subunit ribosomal RNA
Source: RNAcentral
AGCGAACGCUGGCGGCAGGCUUAACACAUGCAAGUCGAGCGGGCGUAGCAAUACGCCAGCGGCAGACGGGUGAGUAACGCGUGGGAACAUACCUUUUGGUUCGGAACAACACAGGGAAACUUGUGCUAAUACCGGAUAAGCCCUUACGGGGAAAGAUUUAUCGCCGAAAGAUUGGCCCGCGUCUGAUUAGCUAGUUGGUGAGGUAAUGGCUCACCAAGGCGACGAUCAGUAGCGGUCUGAGAGGAUGAUCAGCCACAUUGGGACUGAGACACGGCCCAAACUCCUACGGGAGGCAGCAGUGGGGAAUAUUGGACAAUGGGCGCAAGCCUGAUCCAGCCAUGCCGCGUGAGUGAUGAAGGCCCUAGGGUUGUAAAGCUCUUUUGUGCGGGAAGAUAAUGACGGUACCGCAAGAAUAAGCCCCGGCUAACUUCGUGCCAGCCGCCGCCGUAAC